Molecule: long non-coding RNA, 3518 nt
Organism: Puntigrus tetrazona (Sumatra barb)
Lineage: Eukaryota; Metazoa; Chordata; Actinopteri; Cypriniformes; Cyprinidae
Exons: 5
Source: RefSeq, a predicted model, not a curated record
GAUUCAGUGAAGCUGCUCUCUGAUGUACUACAGAAUCCUCACUGUAAACUGGAGAAACUGAGGUUGAAUGAUUGUGGUAUCACAGAAGAAGGUUUUUCUGCUCUGGCUUCAGCUCUGAGAUCAAACCCCUCACACCUGAGAGGACUGGACCUAUCUGAAAAUAACCUAGGAAAUUCAGUGAAGCUGCUUUCAGAUGUACUACAGAAUCUUCACUGUAAACUGGAGGAACUGUGGUUGUGGGAUUGUGGCGUAACAGAAGAAGGUUGUUCUGCUCUGGCUUCAGCUUUGAAAUCAAACCCGUCACACCUGAGAGAACUGCAUCUGUCAAGGAAUAAUCUUGGAAAUUCAGUGAAGCUGCUCUCUGAUGUACUACAGGAUCCUCACUGUAAACUGGAGACACUGAGGUUGUGGGAUUGUGGUAUCACAGAUGAAGGUUGUGCUGCUCUGGUUUCAGCUCUGAGAUCAAACCCCCUCACACCUGAGAACUGGAUCUGUCUGGCAAUAAACUAAGAGAUUUUAGUAUGAAGUUACUCUCUGAUCUGAAGAAGGAUCCACAUUAUAACCUGGAGACAUUAGACUAUUUUUUCAUCUGUUAGUCCAGUUUCCUCAAGAUCAGCUGAUGGUGAAUAAGGAGCUGCUUCAGAGACAUCACAGGCACACAAUCAACAAAUUUAGUGAUGUUCAUUCUGGUUCAUUUUCCUGAUCAAGUCCCAAUGCUUGUUAUCCAAUUAUUGACUGUUAACUGAAAAUUAGAAUGUUAAAUUUAGAUUUUAAUUAAUUUGGAAUGGUAAGUGUAUGUGACUCCAAAUUUUGUCUAAAUUUUUUUCUAGAUGUUAGUAUUUUUACAACCAAUAAUUUUAUAUCUGAUUGUUUUCCGAUUUAUAUUUUGGCACCUAAUUUUACACUAAAUCCAAAUAGCAAUGGAUUCUAUUUAUACUAACUCAAAUAGCUGCAGUAUUUAGUAAUAUACUCUUUACACUAAGUGCAAAUAGCAUUUUCUGCUAUUUAUACUACUUACUGCAAGUGGAAAUUAGCUUGGGACAUCAAGUUCAGUAUGGGACGGUUCUAUUUCUGUUAUAAUGUCAUAAAUGGUAGAAGGUAGGGGCCAUUUAAGGAAUGCUUGAACCUUGCUCUAAUCUAGUGGUCUGCAACAGGCAAUAAUAUUUGGCCCACUCCUGCAGAUUAUUUUGAUAUCGGCUGGUUCUAAAAUAGAUAGUCAUGACAGCAACAGUUACACACAAACUACAAGACCCACAAUGCAAUGCAGCAAAUGGGUGCGGAGUCAGACACGUUAGUCACAGGUGUGUAUUCAUAGUAUGGUAGUUUGACCGCUAAAUGGAGCCUUUUGUUUAUUGAGUGAAAAAGUGAACAUAGAAUGUGCUGAACCUGAAAUGAAGAGACGGAAUUUACCGUGUUAUGAAAGAUUUGUUCGCUUGCUACCCGGUGGAGGAGGGCUAGGAUUCGGAAGUACCUGCAAGCUGCUUCUUUCCUCGCGGAGACUGGACGGCCAAAAGAUGAACCUUCGGGAGUACAAGUCCCGCAACGGAGUCUUCAGCAGGAGAUGAUGGUGUCCUUUUAAUGCUGCACAGUGGACGAGGAUCUGUCCGUUCAUGACUCGUUAAACAGACUACACGGGAUUGGAGCGCUGUAAUCUGGAGGGAGUUUCGGCUUGGCCUGUAAGCAUUGACUGAGCGUUGGACUCCAGGUAGGCCGUGAACUAUUCACUCAACUACCUCAACGGAGAUAAACCUGACCUAAGCAACAGUGACUCUUAAAGAAAAGGGGUUUAGCGGACGCACCUCACGCGCACUUACUCACACGUGCAGACGGCGUGCGUGCACCCACCAACAGCAGUCUUUAAGUGUGAGGAAAAAACUAGUGUAAGAUGUAAACUGUGACUUUCCGGGAACAGCGUCACUACGUCACAAUUGGUAACGAGUAAAAUUUAAUACAAGCAGCAUUGACUUCAAACAUCCCCAAGGCCAAAAUAAACCAAUAAACCAUACAAUUAAAUUAUAUAAAUUACCUAAUGAUAAAGAAAAUAAAAUGCUAAUUAACUUCCCCAGCUCCCUAUUUUGUAUGUAUGUCCUGCUGUGUUAUAAUUUAUAACAGGAUUGUAUAACGUAGAGUCAGAGACGUUUGGAUCCAUUUGCUAGCUCUUUGAGAAUGGUCUAACAGGCAGAAAGUCAACAACAGUGUCAGGGAUAUAUGAGACAGGGUCAGAAUCAUAAACAGUACCAGGCAAGGGUCGAGACAGGCAGUGUGUAUCAGAGUCGAUAAAUCCAGGCAAGGGGUCAAUAGGUAGGCUGCCCAAGGUAAACACAGGAAGACAACAGUAUGAUAUAUACACGCUCAGACUUAUUAGCUGGGGCAAGGACAAGAGCAUAGCUUACAUAGCUGGUCUAUUGAGGUACACCUGGGUAGAUAAUCAGUCUAGGGUGAAGGGCCUUAUGGGAAACGAAGUUCAGAAUGUUUUGUACUCAGGAAAGGGUUCCCUUUGGUGGCUGUCGGAGAGAGCCACAGAGGCACGGUUCAUGACAGAUCGCAGCCCUGUAGUAAUAAUUUUUUAUAAUCAUAGUGGUUACUUUUAUUUUAGGACAGUUCUGGAGAAAAUGGGGCUGCUGGCAAGCUUAAAAAUAUAAUGAAGUUGAUCUGUACAUUAAUUUAGUUUUUUAUUAACAUAAAAAAACUAAAAUUACAUACAGACCAAUUUUAUUCUUUCCAUUUUUCAGUUCCCAAAAUAAUUUGUUAUUUGUAAAUUAACCAAAGUAAUAUUUGUGCAGUAUUUUAUUUAUAAUUUAUUUAGUAGUUUAUUAUUUUAGUAGUUGAUGCAUGCAAAUAAACGGCAAGAAAUCCUGAGAAUUGUUUAUUUUUGCAAAGCAUGUUAUAAUUUGAAAAUAAAGAUAAAUUGUUCUUUGUACUUAGUUUCAGUAACUACUAAUAAUGCAUUAAGGAAAAACUUACUUACCUUUAAUCAAAUGUUUUGUCUUUUAAUAGUCUACUUGCAGUAGGCCUAUGAUAAUCUGCAUAAAUUAAAAAUAUAUCAUGGUCUUGCAUUAAUGUUACUGCCGCACUACUGUACUGUAUGUUUCAUUUGACUUCAGAAUAGGCUCAACAUUGUUACAUUUAACAUACUUUAUGUAGGCGACUGUUGUGCAGUGUAAUGUACAUAUUGUAAAAUAUGCAAUAUGUACAUUACACAAUACCCACACUUCAAGUGCACAGAAUGCAAGUGUGGGUAUUUUGGGCAAAGCCUGAGUUUCAUUUCCAUAACUUUUUUUCUGUGAGUUCUGCUUUUCUGCUGAAUGAGGCGUGUCUUUAGUGUUUCAUAUCUUUAUUUGUAAGGAAAUCGCUUCGUUGCUGUUUCUGGUGCAUUUCAAUAUUAGUGUUCACGAAAGACACAAGUAUUUAAGUAAAUGCGGAUUCUUGACUCUCAGGAUCAUUCAGUGAAUAAUUAGUUAGUCAUUUCCACACAGAGUCAGUGUUGGGGAUCUCGCUCUUCAUCAUGAAUUGCUCAC